GGAAUGACAUGAUUUAUCUACAUGAUUUGUUUUUAACUGUAAUUUAUGAUUGUUAUUUGUUUAAGCGACUGGUCAAGAAACUACGUAACAUGGUAUCUUAGCAACAUUAAUUGGAGAAUUGCGCACUUGCAUUAUACACAGCAGUUUGCUAAUCGUCCGAGUUUGUUCGUAGCAGUUAUUUGCACCAGUAUGACUUCCAGAUUUCAUUAUAACUCCUAAAGUUUCACCCUAUACUUGAAGGGUAACCAACACAGUUGUUGAAUAGUUUAUUAUUCACUACGUUUGUACACCACAAGAGAUUAAAGAAGGCAUCAAGAAUCAAGUUA
This is a long non-coding RNA of Strongylocentrotus purpuratus (purple sea urchin), 326 nucleotides long. RefSeq lists it as uncharacterized. The transcript is spliced from 2 exons. Lineage: Eukaryota; Metazoa; Echinodermata; Echinoidea; Camarodonta; Strongylocentrotidae. The record is from RefSeq and is a predicted model, not a curated record.